RNAcentral lists this ribosomal RNA (443 nucleotides) under uncultured bacterium. Its description in RNAcentral is "partial 16S ribosomal RNA". It matches the Rfam family "Bacterial small subunit ribosomal RNA", at positions 338 to 795 of the family's 1533-position model. The record is from RNAcentral.
CCUACGGGCGACAGCAGUGGGGGAUAUUGGACAAUGGGGGAAACGCUGAUCCAGCGACGCCGCGUGAGUGAAGAAGUAUUUCGGUAUGUAAAGCUCUUUUUGCAGGGAAGCAAGAAAUGACGGUACCUGACCCAGAAGCCCCGGCUAACUACGUGCCAGCAGCCGCGGUAAUACGUAGGGGGCAAGCGUUAUCCGGAAUUACUGGGUGUAAAGGGAUCGUGGGCGGUUAAGGAAGUCCGGAGUGAAAGGCCGGGGCCCAACCCCGUGACUGCUCUGGAAACUAUUGAACUUGAGUGCAGGAGAGGUAAGCGGAAUGCCUAGUGUAGCGGUGAAAUGCGUAGAUAUUAGGAGGAACACCAGUGGCGAAGGCGGCUUACUGGACUGUAACUGACGUUGAGGCUCGAAAGCGUGGGGAGCAAACAGGAUUAGAUACCCUAGUAGUC